Molecule: ribosomal RNA, 301 nt
Filed under: uncultured bacterium
Lineage: Bacteria
Description: partial 16S ribosomal RNA
Rfam family: Bacterial small subunit ribosomal RNA
Source: RNAcentral
CAGUCGCCGCGGUAAUACGUAGGGUGCGAGCGUUAAUCGGAAUUACUGGGCGUAAAGCGUGCGCAGGCGGUUGUGUAAGACAGGUGUGAAAUCCCCGGGCUUAACCUGGGAACUGCGCUUGUGACUGCACAGCUAGAGUAUGGCAGAGGGGGGUGGAAUUCCACGUGUAGCAGUGAAAUGCGUAGAGAUGUGGAGGAACACCGAUGGCGAAGGCAGCCCCCUGGGCCAAUACUGACGCUCAUGCACGAAAGCGUGGGGAGCAAACAGGAUUAGAGACCCGAGUAGUCCCUGUCUCUUAUAC